Molecule: microRNA, 36 nt
Filed under: Candidatus Jidaibacter acanthamoebae
Lineage: Bacteria; Pseudomonadati; Pseudomonadota; Alphaproteobacteria; Rickettsiales; Candidatus Midichloriaceae
Description: Candidatus Jidaibacter acanthamoeba MIR828
Source: RNAcentral
AAGGUUUCUUGCUUUGAUACCGUAUUAGAUAAAGCA